GAAGUCGGAAUCGCUAGUAAUCGUAGAUCAGAAUGCUACGGUGAAUACGUUCCCGGGCCUUGUACACACCGCCCGUCACACCAUGGGAGUGGGUUGCAAAAGAAGUAGGUAGCUUAACCUUCGGGAGGGCGCUUACCACUUUGUGAUUCAUGACUGGGGUGAAGUCGUAACAAGGUAACCGUAGGGGAACCUGCGGUUGGAUCACCUCCUUACCUUAAAGAA
RNAcentral lists this ribosomal RNA (222 nucleotides) under Klebsiella pneumoniae. Its description in RNAcentral is "partial 16S ribosomal RNA". It matches the Rfam family "Bacterial small subunit ribosomal RNA", at positions 1322 to 1533 of the family's 1533-position model. The record is from RNAcentral. Lineage: Bacteria; Pseudomonadati; Pseudomonadota; Gammaproteobacteria; Enterobacterales; Enterobacteriaceae.